RNAcentral lists this ribosomal RNA (2894 nucleotides) under Pseudomonas fluorescens. Its description in RNAcentral is "23S ribosomal RNA". It matches the Rfam family "Bacterial large subunit ribosomal RNA". The record is from RNAcentral. Lineage: Bacteria; Pseudomonadati; Pseudomonadota; Gammaproteobacteria; Pseudomonadales; Pseudomonadaceae.
GGUCAAGUGAAGAAGCGCAUACGGUGGAUGCCUUGGCAGUCAGAGGCGAUGAAAGACGUGGUAGCCUGCGAAAAGCUUCGGGGAGUCGGCAAACAGACUUUGAUCCGGAGAUGUCUGAAUGGGGGAACCCAGCCAUCAUAAGAUGGUUAUCUUGUACUGAAUACAUAGGUGCAAGAGGCGAACCAGGGGAACUGAAACAUCUAAGUACCCUGAGGAAAAGAAAUCAACCGAGAUUCCCUUAGUAGUGGCGAGCGAACGGGGACUAGCCCUUAAGUGGCUUUGAGAUUAGCGGAACGCUCUGGAAAGUGCGGCCAUAGUGGGUGAUAGCCCUGUACGCGAAAAUCUCUUAGUCAUGAAAUCGAGUAGGACGGAGCACGAGAAACUUUGUCUGAAUAUGGGGGGACCAUCCUCCAAGGCUAAAUACUACUGACUGACCGAUAGUGAACUAGUACCGUGAGGGAAAGGCGAAAAAGAACCCCGGAGAGGGGGAGUGAAAUAGAUCCUGAAACCGUAUGCGUACAAGCAGUGGGAGCAGACUUUGUUCUGUGACUGCGUACCUUUUGUAUAAUGGGUCAGCGACUUAUUUUCAGUGGCGAGCUUAACCGAAUAGGGGAGGCGUAGCGAAAGCGAGUCUUAAUAGGGCGUCUAGUCGCUGGGAAUAGACCCGAAACCGGGCGAUCUAUCCAUGGGCAGGUUGAAGGUUAGGUAACACUGACUGGAGGACCGAACCGACUACCGUUGAAAAGUUAGCGGAUGACCUGUGGAUCGGAGUGAAAGGCUAAUCAAGCUCGGAGAUAGCUGGUUCUCCUCGAAAGCUAUUUAGGUAGCGCCUCAUGUAUCACUGUAGGGGGUAGAGCACUGUUUCGGCUAGGGGGGUCAUCCCGACUUACCAAACCGAUGCAAACUCCGAAUACCUACAAGUGCCGAGCAUGGGAGACACACGGCGGGUGCUAACGUCCGUCGUGAAAAGGGAAACAACCCAGACCGUCAGCUAAGGUCCCAAAGUUAUGGUUAAGUGGGAAACGAUGUGGGAAGGCUUAGACAGCUAGGAGGUUGGCUUAGAAGCAGCCACCCUUUAAAGAAAGCGUAAUAGCUCACUAGUCGAGUCGGCCUGCGCGGAAGAUGUAACGGGGCUCAAACCAUACACCGAAGCUACGGGUAUCACGUAAGUGAUGCGGUAGAGGAGCGUUCUGUAAGCCUGUGAAGGUGAGUUGAGAAGCUUGCUGGAGGUAUCAGAAGUGCGAAUGCUGACAUGAGUAACGACAAUGGGUGUGAAAAACACCCACGCCGAAAGACCAAGGUUUCCUGCGCAACGUUAAUCGACGCAGGGUUAGUCGGUCCCUAAGGCGAGGCUGAAAAGCGUAGUCGAUGGAAAACAGGUUAAUAUUCCUGUACUUCUGGUUAUUGCGAUGGAGGGACGGAGAAGGCUAGGCCAGCUUGGCGUUGGUUGUCCAAGUUUAAGGUGGUAGGCUGGAAUCUUAGGUAAAUCCGGGAUUCUAAGGCCGAGAGCUGAUGACGAGUUGCCUUUAGGCGACGAAGUGGUUGAUGCCAUGCUUCCAAGAAAAGCUUCUAAGCUUCAGAUAACCAGGAACCGUACCCCAAACCGACACAGGUGGUUGGGUAGAGAAUACCAAGGCGCUUGAGAGAACUCGGGUGAAGGAACUAGGCAAAAUGGCACCGUAACUUCGGGAGAAGGUGCGCCGGUGAGGGUGAAGCACUUGCUGCGUAAGCCCACGCCGGUCGAAGAUACCAGGCCGCUGCGACUGUUUAUUAAAAACACAGCACUCUGCAAACACGAAAGUGGACGUAUAGGGUGUGACGCCUGCCCGGUGCCGGAAGGUUAAUUGAUGGGGUUAGCUAACGCGAAGCUCUUGAUCGAAGCCCCGGUAAACGGCGGCCGUAACUAUAACGGUCCUAAGGUAGCGAAAUUCCUUGUCGGGUAAGUUCCGACCUGCACGAAUGGCGUAACGAUGGCGGCGCUGUCUCCACCCGAGACUCAGUGAAAUUGAAAUCGCUGUGAAGAUGCAGUGUAUCCGCGGCUAGACGGAAAGACCCCGUGAACCUUUACUAUAGCUUUGCACUGGACUUUGAAUUUGCUUGUGUAGGAUAGGUGGGAGGCUUUGAAGCGUGGACGCCAGUUCGCGUGGAGCCAUCCUUGAAAUACCACCCUGGCAACUUUGAGGUUCUAACUCAGGUCCGUUAUCCGGAUCGAGGACAGUGUAUGGUGGGUAGUUUGACUGGGGCGGUCUCCUCCUAAAGAGUAACGGAGGAGUACGAAGGUGCGCUCAGACCGGUCGGAAAUCGGUCGUAGAGUAUAAAGGCAAAAGCGCGCUUGACUGCGAGACAGACACGUCGAGCAGGUACGAAAGUAGGUCUUAGUGAUCCGGUGGUUCUGUAUGGAAGGGCCAUCGCUCAACGGAUAAAAGGUACUCCGGGGAUAACAGGCUGAUACCGCCCAAGAGUUCAUAUCGACGGCGGUGUUUGGCACCUCGAUGUCGGCUCAUCACAUCCUGGGGCUGAAGCCGGUCCCAAGGGUAUGGCUGUUCGCCAUUUAAAGUGGUACGCGAGCUGGGUUUAGAACGUCGUGAGACAGUUCGGUCCCUAUCUGCCGUGGACGUUUGAGAUUUGAGAGGGGCUGCUCCUAGUACGAGAGGACCGGAGUGGACGAACCUCUGGUGUUCCGGUUGUCACGCCAGUGGCAUUGCCGGGUAGCUAUGUUCGGGAAAGAUAACCGCUGAAAGCAUCUAAGCGGGAAACUUGCCUCAAGAUGAGAUCUCACUGGAACCUUGAGUUCCCUGAAGGGCCGUCGAAGACUACGACGUUGAUAGGUUGGGUGUGUAAGCGCUGUGAGGCGUUGAGCUAACCAAUACUAAUUGCCCGUGAGGCUUGACCAU